RNAcentral lists this ribosomal RNA (270 nucleotides) under uncultured archaeon. Its description in RNAcentral is "partial 16S ribosomal RNA". It matches the Rfam family "Archaeal small subunit ribosomal RNA", at positions 477 to 747 of the family's 1478-position model. The record is from RNAcentral.
CAGCACCUCAAGUGGUCAGGAUGAUUAUUGGGCCUAAAGCAUCCGUAGCCGGCGCUGUAAGUUUUCGGUUAAAUCUGUACGCUCAACGUACAGGCUGCCGGGAAUACUGCAGCGCUAGGGAGUGGGAGAGGUAGACGGUACUCGGUAGGAAGGGGUAAAAUCCUUUGAUCUAUUGAUGACCACCUGUGGCGAAGGCGGUCUACCAGAACACGUCCGACGGUGAGGGACGAAGGCCAGGGGAGCGAACCGGAUUAGAGACCCGCGUAGUCC